AGAGUUUGAUCCUGGCGUCAGGAUGAACGCUGGCGGCGUGCCUAACACAUGCAAGUCGAACGAAGCAUACGGACUGGAGAUCGUCGAAGGACCGUAUGACUUAGUGGCGGACGGGUGAGUAAUGUAUGAGCAACCUGCCUUUCAGAGGGGGACAACAGUUGGAAACGACUGCUAAUACCGCGUAACGUAUCGUGGGGGGCAUCCUCGUGAUACCAAAGGAGCAAUCCGCUGAAAGAUGGGCUCAUAUCUGAUUAGCUUGUUGGUGGGGUAACGGCCCACCAAGGCGACGAUCAGUAGCCGGACUGAGAGGUUGAACGGCCACAUUGGGACUGAGAUACGGCCCAGACUCCUACGGGAGGCAGCAGUGGGGAAUAUUGGGCAAUGGGCGAAAGCCUGACCCAGCAACGCCGCGUGAAGGAAGAAGGUCUUCGGAUUGUAAACUUCUUUUAUGAGGGACGAAGGACGUGACGGUACCUCAUGAAUAAGCCACGGCUAACUACGUGCCAGCCGCCGC
This 514-nucleotide ribosomal RNA is filed under the name uncultured bacterium. RNAcentral's name for it is "bacterial SSU rRNA". It matches the Rfam family "Bacterial small subunit ribosomal RNA", at positions 8 to 518 of the family's 1533-position model. The record is from RNAcentral.